RNAcentral lists this small RNA (122 nucleotides) under Aurantimonas manganoxydans SI85-9A1. RNAcentral describes it as "Alphaproteobacterial ar14". It matches the Rfam family "Alphaproteobacterial ar14". From Rfam's summary of the family: Smr14C2 was renamed NfeR1 (Nodule Formation Efficiency RNA) highly expressed in salt stress and during the symbiotic interaction on legume roots. Lineage: Bacteria; Pseudomonadati; Pseudomonadota; Alphaproteobacteria; Hyphomicrobiales; Aurantimonadaceae. The record is from Rfam by way of RNAcentral.
GAGCUUCGCUGCGGGCUACUCCUCCUCCCAAGCCCAAGGCGGAUAAAGUGCCUGCGCAUCCUCCUCCCAGCGCAGGUACCUCUCAGUCGCCCGUCGGGUCCUCCCCCCGACGGGCGAUCAGA